GACGAACGCUGGCGGCGUGCUUAACACAUGCAAGUCGAACGAUGAAGCCGGAGCUUGCUCUGGUGAAUUAGUGGCGAACGGGUGAGUAACACGUGAGUAACCUGCCCUUGACUCUGGGAUAACUGCGGGAAACUGUAGCUAAUACCGGAUACGACCCUCGGAGGCAUCUCCUGGGGGUGGAAAGAAUUUCGGUCAAGGAUGGACUCGCGGCCUAUCAGCUAGUUGGUGAGGUAAAGGCUCACCAAGGCGACGACGGGUAGCCGGCCUGAGAGGGUGACCGGCCACACAGGGGCUGAGCACCGGCCCAGACUCCUACGGGAGGCAGCAGUGGGGAAUAUUGCACAAUGGGCGCAAGCCUGAUGCAGCAACGCCGCGUGAGGGAUGACGGCCUUCGGGUUGUAAACCUCUUUUAGCAGGGAAGAAGCGAAAGUGACGGUACCUGCAGAAUAAGCACCGGCUAACUACGUGCCAGCAGCCGCAGUAA
RNAcentral lists this ribosomal RNA (484 nucleotides) under uncultured bacterium. RNAcentral describes it as "partial 16S ribosomal RNA". It matches the Rfam family "Bacterial small subunit ribosomal RNA", at positions 28 to 523 of the family's 1533-position model. The record is from RNAcentral.